Long non-coding RNA from Neofelis nebulosa (Clouded leopard), 6660 nucleotides. RefSeq lists it as uncharacterized. The record is from RefSeq and is a predicted model, not a curated record. The transcript is spliced from 4 exons. NCBI's taxonomy places the organism in Eukaryota, Metazoa, Chordata, Mammalia, Carnivora, Felidae.
GGCGGCGACUGGGUUGCGGAGUCCCGGCUGGCCGAGGGAAGGGCCACUGCAAGGUGCCCGGAGCCCCCGGCACCCGCGUCAGAUGCCGGCCGGCGAGCGCGCGGAGAGAGAGACCUUGAGCGGCGUGGCGCGCGUCCUCAGCUCUGCGAGCCCCCUCUGGAGCGGCGGGGAGUACACUGGGAGCCUCAGUCCCUGAACACGGACCUAGAUUUUCUGGACCUGAGGGCCCUUGGCAGAGGGAGCCCGCAUCUUGAGCACGUCUGGACACGAGGGGUGAGAGAAGAGACGCAAGAGAGGUGCCCUCUGUCUCCACCACAAGAAGAUGGCUGUCUGCAAACCAGGAGGAGCCUUCACCAGAUGUCAGACCUACUGGCACCUUGAGCUUGGACUUCUGGGCCUCGAGAACUGUGAAAAUCAAAGUCUGUGAUACUCCGUAAUAGGGGCCCAGACCAUUAACACACCGGCAGUACACCAGGAGGCGCAAUUUAUUGACGUGAAUAAAUUGAAUAAGGGGCAGGCCCGAGAGGGCGGGACAAAAGGCACCCGGUUCCUGGAGGACCCAGAAACAGUCGGCCACAGCAGGCGUUUCCAGGCCCGGUGCCCAUCCCCCACCCUGGCCAGCAGCCAGGCCCCUGCUCAGAGCCGGGAUGCAUCUUGGUUCAAGGCCGUGUUUCUCUGAGCGUCCGUCUGUUCCCAUCACUUCACGUCGUUGUCUCUGACCCUUGCACCGGGUGGUUAUCACUAUCCCCAGUCUGCAGCCUGCUGCCGGCCAGGUCCUGCCCUUCCUGUGGCUGCACUGCGGUCCAGGCUCCUGGGGUUUCCUCAUUGCAGAGGAGCGCCAGCCUCGAUCUCUUGCUUCCAGCCUUUUCCUGUCCCUUAGAGGAAAGAUGCUAGCUCACAGAGAAAGAAUUUUUAUUUUACAGCUGCCUCUCCUUUCUUUAGACUCCAGCCAGUCCUGGGUGCAGUGAGAUCUGAACAGCCAGGUCCUACCGGCUCCCCACGGCUCGAGCUCCUCCUUCAGACUGAGGGUCUUGGGUGGGGGGUCUGCUGGGUUGGCUGAGCCCCGAACGCUGGAGGACAGAACAGGAAAAUGAAGACGUGACGACACCCGCUAGCUCAGUGUCCUAAGUCGGAGGUCCCGAACAGUAUUCCCGGGGCCUCCCCGCCACCCCACCCCCCCCCCCCGCACCUGGGAUCGGAUGCCAACGUGUUCUGCCACCGACCACGCAGCACAUGGCUUGAAAGCAGGGUGCUGGGGCCAGGCCAACGUUUGCCUUUUCCUACACGUCUUGGCAAAGCUGCUCAAAACCCUCUCUUCCCCCAGCAGGAAAAGCAUAUGUUCUUUCCAUAUAGAGGAGAAAUUGUUCCACGAGUGAGUAAGUCUCUUGGCCGCGGAGCCCGGCCCAGCCCGCAGCACGCCGGGCAGGAAGCGGGCAGCGUUCUUACCACCCUUGGAACCAGACCGGGCUGGAUCCUCACCCUGGAAGACAGCGGGCCUUUGGACGGGGCCGGGGGUGGUGGGGAGCGGGGGCUGGGCGAGUGCCCGAAGACAGCUAGCCGGCCAGGGCAGGGCAGAGAAUCCUUUCCCUGAAUAGAAGCGCUUUUCUCCAUUCAGGCGGGGUGGGCGAAGGAGGGAGGGAAGGCCGAGGGGUGUGAGAGGCGAAAGAGACCUUCCCAAUCCCCUCACCCCAGCAGCAAACGGGCCUGAGUCAGAGGUGACUCAGGUACGUGCAGUGAGACAGGGCCAUUUUUAGACCGUCAUUUCCAGCCACCCCCAAAUUCUCCUCGAUGCCUCGGGGUUAGGUGGCAAAAAGGGACCCCAUCCUCAGUGCCUCAGUUCAUUCUGCCGGAUCCGUGUGAACAUACAGGUCUUCCCCAAGCCAGCCCCGGGCCGGAGGAUGCUGCUUGCACCCUUGUCUCAGGGGGUCCUGGUUCCCUUCCCACCCUCUCCCCACUUGCUAAGAAUCGCUGACUAGGGGUUGCGGGGAGUGGGCAGGGAAGGGACAGACAGGCCGGGCGAUGGGCAGGUGGUGGGACAGAGGGGAAGUGGGAGGGGCCCCACAGAGAGGGGAAAACGCUGAUGACGUUGGGGCAUCCAACCUGGAAAGUCAAAGACUCGGGCUAGGGGCGCCUGGCUGGCUCCGUGGGUUGAGUGUCCAACUCUUGGUUUCAGCUCAGAUCAUGAUCUCACAGUUUUUGAGUUCGAGCCCCACUUCAGGUUCUGCACUGACGGCGUGGAUCCUGCUUGGGAUUCUCUCUCUCUCUGCCCCUCCCCUGCCUUCACUCACAUUCUCUCUCUCUCUCUCUCUCUCCAAUAACUAAGCUUAAAAGACUCAGGGUAGUAGAAGUGAGAGACGUGAAAAUGAUGUCAAGGUAGGAGACAGGUCACCCCGUAGAAGUGGGAUUGGAUUUAUCCUGGGUGGGAACUUCGAUGGGGCAAGCCCUGAGCAUAUAAAUCAGGGCCCCAACCCGCUGAGGAGUGCUUUCAAGGCAGCGCAUUCUCGGGGCACCUGGGUGGCUCAGUCGCUUACGCAUCCGACUUUCGCUCAGGUUGUGAUUUCACAGUUUGUGAGUUCGAGCCCUGCACCAAUCUCUCUGCUGUCAGCACGGAGCCCUCUUUGGAUCCUCUGUUCCCCCCUCCCCAACCCCCACUCUCUGCAUCUCCCCUGCUCUCUUUCUCUCAAAAAUAAAUAAAUGAACACUGGUGUUCAUUUAGGUCCCACACUGGUGGCCCGGGGGCCAGACACAGCCCUGAAGAUGUUUCCACCGGUCAGCAUUUCUGCACGGCCACCAUCAGCUGAGUCCACACAAUCUACGCACGGCCCGUGCUGCAGGGCACGUCAGGCCUGAGUCCCUCCUUUGUUUCCUGGACUGGUCCCUUAGGCGUUUACGCCUGGGAGCUUUGGAGCACCUGCCCACACUCUCCCUUCUCCUCUAGCUCACCCUGUAGGCCCACCUGGGGCGGGAGGAGGCGGGCUCAGGUGAGACCACAGGUCCUGAGCCGCCCUGGCCCGGACGCCAGGUAGAGCGCUCACCUGGCGAGAGACCAGCACCCCUGCAAACUCCCCCUCCCUCUCCUGGAGCUGUCAUUACGCUGGGCUCUAUCAUGGUCUCUGGGGACUGGACAGUAGCUUCACUCACCUGGCCAUCCUGCCCUGGAGCAGAGACAGUUCCCCAGGGUGUUUAGGGUCUGGGAAGGGCACCCAGGGGCAGAUGCACCAUGAGCUGAGAUAGAAGGGACAAAGUAAGAACGGACACGCCCGACCCCGGGUCCAGGAGGGCAGCGCUCGGGGAGGAUGCCAGUGGCUGUGGGUCUGAAGGAAGCUGGGGCAGGGUUGGGGAGUGGAAACUAGCCGGGGGAGUAAAGUGGGGCGGCUAAAGGGCUCAGGAAGGAGGGAGCAGAAGGCAAGGCCCAGCUCCACCUUCUGCCUGUGUGUCUGGGGUGGACCCUGACUUGUACCUGCCAGAACCGAGGGCAGAAGGGCAGGCGGCAGUGGCCUCGCUGGGCGACGAGAUUCCACCCGAAGCCUGUAUAGGCGGCGGCAGAUUGCAGGGCGGUUUCACUUCCCCGGCCCUAUCUGCUCCCGUGGACAGCUACGGGCGUUGGGACUAACAUACCCAUUUUACAGAUGAGGAGACUGAGGCAAAGUUGUGCAAGGAAGACUCUAGCCCCCGGGUAAGAGCAGGGCUCCUGCUUUCACCAGCUCUGCUUUCUGAGUUGCUUGUCCAGGCCACUGGGAGCGGACGACACAACUUGCAAAGCAGCCACGCAGCAAGCAUUAGCUCCUCCUCCUCCACGUUUCACAGCCUCAUCGAAUGACACUGACAUUUGCAGGCAAGAACUCCAGCUGUGCUGGGACCCAGGUAGGUCGGGAGUUCAGAGGCGGGCCUUUAUUUUACUGACGAUCGGUAGUUCACAGGUCCUCACCCCGCUCCGGCCUGGUGCUGGGCACCCUGCGAAUGAGGUCGCAGCCCCCUUCUUGGCCCACCUCGUGGGACGGCUGCUCUCUCAGGGGUGAGACCCGCAAGCCAAGUCAGCCUGACUCUGAAGCUGGUGCUCUCUGGAGGACCACCUCGGAGUCUCCCAUGUGACUGUGUCACUCCUCCCGGGGAACUGGCUGUACGGAAGAUGGGGGCUCCUGAGCGGGGCCAGAGCCCACGGCACACGCCCCCUCUGGGGUCCUGACCCUCCCCUCGGCGUCCGCCUGGGAGGUAGGGUGGGCACCUCCCCACGGGGGGCAUCCUAGCACCACAGCUGGAAGCGGGAAGCUGGGUACGGAUUUCCCUGGGGAGUGCCGCUGCUCUGGGAGUCCUGGUUCUCCCCUCCUUCCAAGGAGGCCUGAAGGCGUGGAAAGGACCUUGACCUGGGAGUCCGAGAGCCCAAGCUCACCUUCUAGGCCAGGCUGCUUCACCGUCCCAGCCCCUCUCUGAGCCUCAGCUCAGGGGCUAAGUGAGGGCGGCCUAGAGGGUCACGGUUGCAGCCCCCUAACCAUUUUUAAAGACAGCCCCUCACACUUCUUGCCCAAGUGUUCCUCCAGCCGGUUCUGCCUUCAAGGCCUCAGGCCCAGCGGACGGCCCAAGGGCACCACCUGCUGGCCAGUCUCAGCCAGGCAAGGCGGCCGCACCCGGCUGCUUUGAAGGCUCCCCCAGAUCAUCCCAGCAGAGGGCCAGGUCACAGCCCUGGAAGUCAGGUGGGCGCCAGGGCAGGAGAGAGCAAGCUGCACCUCCCCGCAUUCCCAGACGGGGGAGGGAGUCCUCCAGGUCCCCAGAAGUCAGUGUGCGAGUGGGGGGCGCUGCCAUUAUGAGGCAGUUGGGCCUGGAUUUGAGUCCCUUGUGUCCUUAACCUUACCUGAAGUCCCUCAUCUGUGGGGUGGGGCCAUUUGGGACACAUUUCUCAGGGCUGUGGGCCUCUCUCUGCAUGAGCUGGCGGCCAGAGGGGAUGGCAGGGGUCCAGCCUGGUGGCACCCGGACCAUAGGCCAGUGGCUCUCAGCUGCAGCCGCACGUUCAAUCACCUGAUGCUUAGCGGUGGCUUUCACAGCGUGGUCCUGGGUCGCCAGCAUCAGUGAGGAACUUGUUAGGAAUGCAGAUUCUGGGGCCCCACCCCAGUCUGGCUGAGUUGGAUAGUCUGGGGGUGGGGUCCGGCACCCUUCAGGUGAUGCCGAUGCUUGGUCAAGUGUGAGAACACGGUGCUUAGGGACUGGGGUUGCUUAAAAAGCAUCUCAGGUGCCUGAAGUGUCCUCGGUACCAGAAUCGCCUGCCCCCCUCCCCCCAGGGUAAUUCUGGUUUGGAGGGACCCCGCCAUGGAUUAAAAGUACCAACUCUGCAUCUGCUGCUUCCGAUGAGCAGUGACUGCUCUGGUGUGCACCCUCCUCCCCACACGCCAUGCACGCCCUUCCAUCAGAGGUCAGGGACCCACAGCAGAGUGCAGUUGCUCUCCCUGGGGUCUCCCAAGACAAUAACCACCAGUUACUGACAUUUGCUGAGUGCUCAAGCUAUGACAGGCGUGGUGCUAGGGGCUUUGUAUGCAACGUCUCAGGAGAACCCUAGGAAUUGUUAGAAUCCCCCAUUUUACAGGUGGAGAAACUGAGGCACAGAGCCAUUAAGUCACUCGCUCUGGGUCACACGGCUCCUAAAUGCCAGAGCCCGGAGUCCAGCCUCGUUCUCUCUGACUUCAGAGUCCCCUGCCUUUGCUUCCUCGUUUUACAAGAGGAGGGGCAACUUGCUGAAGGUCACUUCGGGUAGCACCCCCCACAGUCUCUGUACCUCGGCUUCCGGGCUCACCAAGGGCCUUGGCACCCAUUCCAAGAUGACACGAACGGACCUCUGAGCCUGGUGCCACUCCCCUGGGCAUAAGCACAACAGGAAAAGGGAGGCAGAGGCAAGGGCAUUACUUAGCUGCAUACCACCUAGAUUCUUCAAGGAUUCCAGAUUAUUAAAGAGACUGACAUACAUAUGCUCCCCAGCCCCCCAUUCCAGCCCCGUCUUCCCUGUUGUCUAAGCCUCGCGUGGACCACGGCCCGUCACCAUGACCCGGCUCCGAAAAAGGCAACAGGAGUAGCCACUGGGGCAGCAGAAAAAAAUAUAGAGCCAUUUUACUACUAAAGACGUGUUUUCCAAAAGCAGGGGAGUUGCUGUCCCGAAGAGAAGAAGACCCUGGGGGAGUCCCUGCGGAAGGGGCCGGCUGGAGCUGCGGUCACCCACCACCGGGCCGGCAGCCCUCAGCGGGCCCGAAUUUGCAGGGAGAUUCGGUAGAGCUCCAUCGUCGCCCUGGCGUCUUCCACCGAGCUGUGUCCAAACUGGCUGUUCUGUAGACACAUGGACAGAGCGGGGGGGGUUGGGGGGGGACUUGGGGUAAGGCUGAAUGCAGAGACCCCCUGUGACCUGGGCCUUCCCCACCUGCACCCCGGUUUCCCGGGCCCUGAGGGGGGUCAGUGGGUGAGCAGCCCCAGCCUUCUGACACCCUGGACGCUGCAGGUGGCUGGAGCAGGCCCGGCUUCUCCUGUCUGACCCAGAACUGGGGCACUAGGCCCAGGCAUGACCAGGCACAGCUUCCAGCAUCCGGAGAACCAGGCUGUGUCCUCGAGGUGCUUAUAAUCUGCUGAGGGGAGGAGGGGCUGCAGACACACAGACACAGAGGGAGCUCCAGGGGACCAGGCGAA